This 283-nucleotide long non-coding RNA is filed under the name Arabidopsis lyrata. RNAcentral describes it as "long non-coding RNA (ALYR_LNC001970)". The record is from RNAcentral. Lineage: Eukaryota; Viridiplantae; Streptophyta; Magnoliopsida; Brassicales; Brassicaceae.
GCAUAGGGGAUGAUGAUGAUAUGACCUUGUAAGCAUGCUCAUUUACUGAAUGAAUUCAAUGCCCUCGUUGUUAGUUGUUUAAUGCUUGUGAUAGAACUUGAAGUAAGACAGCACCAUAUUUGGAAUUCACAACUUGACUCUCUUGUUUUAAUUGAAGCAUGCUUGAUGUGAUUCUUUUCCCUAUCUAUUAGAACCUGAACUUGACUUAUAAUUAUCAUGUCUUUGCAUUGUUGUUGAACUUGUGGCUACCAAUACACAUACUUGGAUUUUCUUUCACCUUCUA